AGAGUUUGAUCCUGGCUCAGGACGAACGCUGGCGGCGUGCCUAAUACAUGCAAGUCGAGCGAAUCGAUGGGAGCUUGCUCCCUGAGAUUAGCGGCGGACGGGUGAGUAACACGUGGGCAACCUGCCUAUAAGACUGGGAUAACUUCGGGAAACCGGAGCUAAUACCGGAUACGUUCUUUUCUCGCAUGAGAGAAGAUGGAAAGACGGUUUACGCUGUCACUUAUAGAUGGGCCCGCGGCGCAUUAGCUAGUUGGUGAGGUAAUGGCUCACCAAGGCGACGAUGCGUAGCCGACCUGAGAGGGUGAUCGGCCACACUGGGACUGAGACACGGCCCAGACUCCUACGGGAGGCAGCAGUAGGGAAUCUUCCGCAAUGGACGAAAGUCUGACGGAGCAACGCCGCGUGAGUGAUGAAGGCUUUCGGGUCGUAAAACUCUGUUGUUAGGGAAGAACAAGUACGAGAGUAACUGCUCGUACCUUGACGGUACCUAACCAGAAAGCCACGGCUAACUAUGUGCCAGCAGCCGCGGUAAUACGUAGGUGGCAAGCAUUAUCCGGAAUUAUUGGGGCGUAAAGCGCGCGCAGGCGGUUUCUUAAGUCUGAUGUGAAAGCCCACGGCUCAACCGUGGAGGGUCAUUUGGAACUG
This 645-nucleotide ribosomal RNA is filed under the name uncultured marine bacterium. RNAcentral's name for it is "bacterial SSU rRNA". It matches the Rfam family "Bacterial small subunit ribosomal RNA", at positions 8 to 635 of the family's 1533-position model. The record is from RNAcentral.